Molecule: long non-coding RNA, 1228 nt
Organism: Larimichthys crocea (large yellow croaker)
Lineage: Eukaryota; Metazoa; Chordata; Actinopteri; Sciaenidae
Exons: 3
Source: RefSeq, a predicted model, not a curated record
UGGAGAAGUAAGGGGAGAGAGAUGGAUGAAGAAGGAAAGAGGGGGAUGAAGCAUGAAAAACAAUAUGGGUGCAGAGACAGAAAACGGUCAUGAGUUAUCAAGUCACUGGCUUUUGAUGAAAAUUAGGACAAGACCUAAAAUCAUAACCAUGCAAACAUUUUUCAGACAGCUCCAUCGAUGGUGACAAAUAACUUGGCAUAUUUUAAGUGAUAACCACAGUCAGGAGCAUCAGAAGUUUACAAACACAUAUUACACACAUUAGACUGUUGACCACACAAUAAGUUAAUUAUUAGACACCUACAUGGUGAAAAGAAACUAAGCACAAAAGUCCAUUUAUAUUCAGCAAAUGGAGCCGAGUCAGGUGUCAUCUGAUGACCAUUAUCUGGUUCUUAAGUGGUCAUAUACAGGGAGGAUAUAUCAAAGCAGACCUUUGAUGUCAAUGAUCUUCUUCCAGCAAAUGCUGUGAAUGGUUUUGGGUCUGGUGCUCAGACAGCCGCUGUUAUCUGUCUCUGGGAUUUGUUAAAUCUCUGCUCCUGGGUAAACACAGUUUAUCCCACAGUUGGUCCAGUCUUGUGGGUAUGUCAGCAGAGGUCUUAAAAGUCUUAAAUGCCUUGUUGUAAAUGCAUUCAAUGCCAAAGACCUGCCUUUAAUUGAAACAGUGUACAACCACUUGUUAUCAACUGACCAAAGGACCAGAUUAAGGUCAUGCGACAAGACCUGAGCCAGUUCAUUUCACUUAAGAUGCUAGUUGUGGUUAAAAGCUCAGAAAGAAAGUGGAUCUUGUUGUUGUUCGAUUAUUUCCACCAUAUACUAUUCUCAAGGGACAGGAAUAAACAUCCAUGCCCAAAUCCUGACAAAGUUAGAUUUGAUCAGUGGUUGGUGUUAGUUAGGAACGUUGACAGGGAACAUUAGAAGCAAACUUCUGAUGUUAUUCUGCUUUACACACACCCACAGUCUUUCCGAAUGCACUACCAUGCAUUGCCUCACCCAUGUGCACCCCAGAGGGUGCACUCAAUGGGUCUGCUCUACUCCCGCCAUGACAACCAUAUGAUACAACUCCACUUCAUCUUCCUCAUCACUUGACCUGCCAAGGCCAAUCAGACAGCAGGGACUUAGAGAGGUUACAUGGGAUGGUGGAUGCAGUGCAGUGACCUCAGCUAAGUGCUCCCUCACCAGGCAUACGGUCCAUUGCGGCGGCCUGCAAGGCCUGGAGCUCCUUAAGGUCCAC